This 465-nucleotide ribosomal RNA is filed under the name uncultured bacterium. Its description in RNAcentral is "bacterial SSU rRNA". It matches the Rfam family "Bacterial small subunit ribosomal RNA", at positions 338 to 795 of the family's 1533-position model. The record is from RNAcentral.
CCUACGGGGUGCACCAGUGGGGAAUAUUGGACAAUGGGCGCAAGCCUGAUCCAGCCAUGCCGCGUGGGUGAAGAAGGCCUUCGGGUUGUAAAGCACUUUCAGUAAGGAGGAAGCGUUGAGUGUUAAUAGUACUCAGCGUUGACGUUACUUACAGAAGAAGCACCGGCUAACUCUGUGCCAGCAGCCGCGGUAAUACAGAGGGUGCAAGCGUUAACCGGAAUUACUGGGCGUAAAGCGCACGUAGGCGGUUUUUUAAGUCAGAUGUGAAAGCCACGGGCUCAACCUGGGAAUUGCAUUUGAAACUGGAAAACUAGAGUGUGUGAGAGGGGGGUAGAAUUCCAAGUGUAGCGGUGGAAUGCGUAGAGAUUUGGAGGAAUACCAGUGGCGAAGGCGGCCCCCUGGCACAACACUGACGCUCAGGUGCGAAAGCGUGGGGAGCAAACAGGAUUAGAUACCCUCGUAGUC